ACGUAGGGUGCAAGCGUUAAUCGGAAUUACUGGGCGUAAAGCGUGCGCAGGCGGUUAUAUAAGUCAGAUGUGAAAUCCCCGGGCUCAACCUGGGAACUGCAUUUGAGACUGUAUGGCUAGAGUGUGUCAGAGGGGGGUAGAAUUCCACGUGUAGCAGUGAAAUGCGUAGAUAUGUGGAGGAAUACCGAUGGCGAAGGCAGCCCCCUGGGAUAACACUGACGCUCAUGCACGAAAGCGUGGGGAGCAAACAG
Molecule: ribosomal RNA, 251 nt
Filed under: uncultured prokaryote
Description: partial 16S rRNA
Rfam family: Bacterial small subunit ribosomal RNA
Source: RNAcentral